AUGUUUUAUGAACAUUUCAGUGUCUCUUUUGAUGUUUCUGUACGACGGCUCAAUGACUUUGUAUCACUGUGGUGGACUUUUGGUGGAGGAACCAGACUGGAUGUUGGAAGUGAUGUCCGUCCCACUCUGACGGUGCUGCCCCCCUCCCAUGAGGAGCUGCAGCAGGGGAAGGCCACACUCAUGUGCCUGGCCAACAAGGGCUUCCCCUCAGGCUGGAGUCUGGCCUGGAAGGUGGACGGCAGCAGCAGCAGCUUGGAUCAGAUCAGGAGCCCCGGGGUGCUGGGGAAGGACGGCACCUACAGCUGGAGCAGCACCCUGAGGCUCACUGCAGACCAGUGGACGAAGGUGGGCUCUGUGACCUGUGAGGCCACCCAGGGCUCCCAGACUCCGGUCUCAGAGACACUGAGGACAGAGCAGUGUUCCCAGUCCUGACCUGACUCUCUGAGACUCUGCUGCUGGUUUUACUCUGCUCCUGCUCUCACUCUGCUCUCUGUAACUGUCUCUCUCUCUCUUUAUGAGUCUCUCAGAUGUGUUUGCUCGUUCUUUGUCAUUUGUCAUUUCAAUAUUUCCAGAUAAUAAAGAUCAGUUCAUCCAAUA
Molecule: non-coding RNA, 597 nt
Organism: Toxotes jaculatrix (banded archerfish)
Lineage: Eukaryota; Metazoa; Chordata; Actinopteri; Toxotidae
Source: the annotation of a RefSeq genome assembly